AACCUCUUGCAUGAUUUUUUCUUAUGCACAAAACAUUUAUCCCCAAAUCCUUCUACACUAUUUUCUCUCGCCCAAGGAAGAACAGGUACAUCGUUUCAUUCUUCUUCUUUAUCUCUUUGCCUCUCUUGCCUUUUCCCUUCUUCUUCUUCCUCCUCUCUUAGAUUCAUCAACAUUUCCAAUCCAUUCUUCUCCCCAAGCCCUUGUUUCCCACUUUUUGUUUCUUCUAGACACGUCAUCUCCGUUUGUCAUCUUCAGUCGUCUCGUGCUUCUCCUCGCUCCCUCCUCCAUCUGUUUGGAGGAAGCCGUUAGAAAAUUGGAGGCAUAUAGACAAAAAUUUCCAAGCUUGGAAAGCGAAUCAAAAUUACCAUUUUGUGUAUAUUGCUCCUGAGGUGUUGCUUAAGAAAGAGUAUGAUGGCAAGGUAAAUGUUAUAAUAUAAUUAUAUAUAUACAUGUGUAUCAAUAUGCCCAUUCUAUCUUGUGAUGUGUUUUAAGGUUGAGAUUAUUUCUCUUUUUUGUAUCUGACAGUGCAUUUCAGAUUGCAGAUGUGUAGUCGUGUGGGGUGACCUUAUAUGUUCUUUGGUUUGUUAUUCAUUUAUUAUAAUUAAUAGCAAAGUUAGAUAUUGUAAUUGGUUGCAUAUGUUUCCUCUGUGCUCCUAAAAAAUGGUUGUUUUGGUCUUCAUGUUGACAACAAGAUAUUGCUUUACAAUAGGCGCUAACUCAACAACGCCUUUGUCCAUUCCCUAAGGAAAUCAAGGCCAAGGGAGAUUUCAUGGCUAUGGAAGGAAGCUUUGAGAAAAAGAGAAUAGAAAAUGAAUGGCACUUUAAGGAUGACCUUCAUCACACAUUCGCUUUCUUGAACAGAUCCUUUCGAUGCUUCGAAAAGGUUGAACUCAACCAAACGUGCCAUUUGUUUGCAGAUAUAUCGUGCCUGAGACAGAAGAUUAUUGAUAUGAAGUUGAUGUUAUACCCAAGAAGAUCAAAUUAGAAAAUCUUACAAUUGUUCAAAGAAGAAGCUUAAUUAUUGAAGAUUGAUUUCACAAAGAUGAAGAAGAAGAAGAUUAAGAUGGAGGGAAGAAGAGGAUGAAGAUUUAGAAGAACACAAGAAUUUUAUAGUGGUUAAGCAAAAAUGCCUACAUCUACUUAGAAUGAGAUAGUUGAAGAAUCCAUGGACCAUGGUAUCAAUCAAGUUCUCAUUUAUGUGUCAAUUUGAUUAGAUUAGAUCACACAUACAUGUAAUAUUACAAUAAACUUAUCUUUUGGAUUAUUGUAAAAUCUUUACCGAUAAUGUAAGUUAUAUUUUUUAUUAUCAAUAUAAAUAUCUUUCCAAACA
This is a long non-coding RNA of Cucumis melo (muskmelon), 1330 nucleotides long. RefSeq lists it as uncharacterized. The record is from RefSeq and is a predicted model, not a curated record. Lineage: Eukaryota; Viridiplantae; Streptophyta; Magnoliopsida; Cucurbitales; Cucurbitaceae. The transcript has 8 exons.